This 357-nucleotide ribosomal RNA is filed under the name uncultured fungus. RNAcentral's name for it is "LSU rRNA". It matches the Rfam family "Eukaryotic large subunit ribosomal RNA", at positions 65 to 424 of the family's 3401-position model. Lineage: Eukaryota; Fungi. The record is from RNAcentral.
CCAACAGGGAUUGCCCUAGCAACGGCGAGUGAAGCGGCAACAGCUCAAAAUUUGAAAUCUGGCGCAAGCCCGAGUUGUAAUUUGUAGAGGAUGCUUCUGGGUAGCGGCCGGUCUAAGUUCCUUGGAACAGGACGUCAUAGAGGGUGAGAAUCCCGUAUGUGACUGGUUGGCGCCCUCCACGUAGCUCCUUCGACGAGUCGAGUUGUUUGGGAAUGCAGCUCUAAAUGGGUGGUAAAUUUCAUCUAAAGCUAAAUACCGGCCAGAGACCGAUAGCGCACAAGUAGAGUGAUCGAAAGAUGAAAAGCACUUUGGAAAGAGAGUUAAAAAGCACGUGAAANUGUUGAAAGGGAAGCGCUU